This is a long non-coding RNA of Pogoniulus pusillus (Red-fronted tinkerbird), 1083 nucleotides long. RefSeq lists it as uncharacterized. The transcript is spliced from 2 exons. The record is from RefSeq and is a predicted model, not a curated record. Lineage: Eukaryota; Metazoa; Chordata; Aves; Piciformes; Lybiidae.
GCAUCCGCGGCUCCCAGCGCACCUCGCCGCGCCCCGGGCCGCUCCACCCGGACACGAUGGUACUUUACACCAAGCUCCAGCUGUGGUCCUCACCUAGUGCCUGAAAGCCUCAUCUCAUGUGACACAGUGCUGCCACGAAAGUGUCCUGGCACUGUGGUAGAUGUAUCCAAGUGUUAGGGAUCACGUUUGCACUCCUGAGCUGGAGCCAUCACUCAGGUUUAGGACUGCACCAAAGCAAAGAUGCCUCUGUAAGCCCAGGCUGCUGCCAGUCCAAGGGUGUUCUUUGUGUGCCCUCUUGAGUUAGCUGUGGCUUGCAUAAUUAACUAAUUAUUGCUCAUAGAUGUUGGGGGAGGGAGCCAGGACUCUCACUGUACAGUCUGGUGUUUGGGAUGCAGAUGUGUGAAGAUCUUGUCCCCAUCUCAGUGCCUGUGAGUGUUUCAGCUGCACACAAGAGAUGCGCUUCAGCCGGCAGGCCUGAGAGCAAUCCUGCUUUGUCAGAGGUCACCCAUCUCCGGAGAGAGCAUGCCAAAGGGCACUGUGCCAUCUUCUUUGGUGUUCUUGUCAUCCUCUGAGAAGAUGGUGAUUGGAUAUAGGCCUCCAGCUUCCCACCUAGGCUGCAGAGGAAGAGCUACAAGUAAGCAUCUCUUGUCUUAGGGGUGCAGCAGUAAUGGUGUAGUGCUGGGGCCCACCUUCUGCUUCUCAGUGGUUGCUUCUGCAGCUGCUCAGCCAGUUGGUGCCUGUGGAGUCCUUGCCACAGCUGAUUGCUUGUCUCAGGGAAGCCAGAGCUAGGGCAGAUGGUGGCUGAGACUCUGGGUCCUGUCCCAGGAGAACUGCUCUGAAACACUCUUUUCCUCCUCAGUGCUCCUUUUAGGCAGACCAGGAUUAGGAUGCAAACAGCGUGCUGGUCAUAGGCAUGGGCAGUAACAAAUUGCAAGGGGUUUCCAGCAGUCAAGACAAAUGAAAAAGUAACCCCAAGAGCCCAGUGAGCAAAGUGGUCAUGGGAGGAAGAAACAAAGAGGCUUGCACUGAGGAAGUGCAGAGACCUUAUCAUAUCUUCUCUGUCAAAGCAUACACCAAACCAAA